Molecule: ribosomal RNA, 468 nt
Filed under: uncultured bacterium
Lineage: Bacteria
Description: partial 16S ribosomal RNA
Rfam family: Bacterial small subunit ribosomal RNA
Source: RNAcentral
GAUGAACGCUGGCGGCGUGCUUAACACAUGCAAGUCGAACGGAAAGGCCCUGCUCUUGUGCUGUGCUCGAUUGCCGCCCGCGUGCGUAUCACGUGCGUAUCCUCCCCUUGCCUCUCGGAUAUCUCUACGACACCGGGGCUCAUACCGCAUAGGAGCUCCUGCUGCGUGGUGGGUGCUGGAAAGAUUCGGCGGUUGUGGAUGUAAUAGCGGCUUACGAGCUUGUUGGUCGGGUAGUGGCUGACCAAGGUUUUGGCGGGUAGUCGGCCUGAGAGGGUGAACGGCCACAUGAGGACUGAGAUACGGCCCAGACUCCUACGGGAGGCAGCAGGGGGGAAUAUGGCACAAUGGGCGGAAGCCUGAUGCAGCAACGCCGCGUUCGGGAUGACGGCCUUCUGGUUGAAAACCGCUGUCGCCGUUAACGAAGCGUUAGUGACGGUAAUGGAUAAAGAAGCACCGGCUAACUACGUG